GUCUCUUUCUCAUACCACGACCCGUGGUCGGAGAUACCUAAUAUUUCCCUCAUAUUUUUAAAACAUAUAUAUAUACUUUCAAAAUAGUAUACUUUUUUGGUCAUGAAAGAUUACUUAAUAUUACUUAGGGAGAAUUACAGGGAGGGUGUAUUGGGCACCAUUGGUAGUACAUAAGUAGGAUCCCCGUAGGGAUUUUGUGCUAUACUAUUACUAUCUAUCAUACUAGGAUCCACAUGUGGAUCGAGAAAAAAAACUAGAAAUACUAGAAAAAGUAGAACUACUACAAGCAGUUGUUGGGGCGGAGGGGCAAAAGAGGUUUUGGGGUACAUGGGGGAAGGGUGGGUUGUGUUCAACAAACUAUUGGUAAUGAGUCUCUACCUUGCUACUCCUGCUUGGUCUUCCAUAACUUCUUUUUUAACAAAAGGUGGUGCCUUGUCAAAAAGAUGUGUGCUGCCUCCAUGGGUAGUUGUGAACCAUAUUUAGCUAGUGCAUCAGCAACCAUGUUGGCCUCCGUAUAAGUGUGGCUAAGGAUGGGAUCACCCAGCUACCGUAGUAGCCACCUGCAAUCAUGAAUUAAGUGAGUAUACUGUGGGUUAUCAUGUUGUAGUAAGGUGAUUACCUCUUCGGCGUCGAUAUUUAUUUCUAGAGCUUCAUAACCAUAUUGUAAAGAGAGUCGUAAUCCAUAGAGUAAGGCAGUGAGUUCCGUCUGGAUGCUGUUUGCAAACCCAAUGUUACCUAAGAAUCCUAGUUGCCAUUCACCAGUGGAGGAGCGGAUAACCCCUCAUAUGCCAUUGACACCUGGCUUUGUGGAGACCACUCCAUCAGUGUUAAGUUUAUAGAAGUUUGGUGCAGGAGGAUUCCGUUUUAUAUAGAAAGGGAUUAAAGGCUUGCGUGGUGGAGAUUUAUGUGUAAGAAAGUAAAAUUCCGCAGCGUGAUGAAUUAUUUGAGAGUGAUUGAGAGGAUCCUUACGAUUAUUAAAAAUAUUAUGGUUGCGAUUGAGCCAAAUGCCCCAUAGAAUAAAAGGAAAGAGAGUGGUGAGUGGAAUAUUAUGUGGGGUGGUUAUGGGUUGAUUUAUAAGUGUGUGAAU
This 1087-nucleotide long non-coding RNA is filed under the name Nicotiana tabacum (common tobacco). RNAcentral's name for it is "long non-coding RNA (NTAB_LNC008220)". The record is from RNAcentral. Lineage: Eukaryota; Viridiplantae; Streptophyta; Magnoliopsida; Solanales; Solanaceae.